Molecule: small nuclear RNA, 107 nt
Organism: Spermophilus dauricus (Daurian ground squirrel)
Lineage: Eukaryota; Metazoa; Chordata; Mammalia; Rodentia; Sciuridae
Source: Ensembl
GUGCUUGCUUCAACAGCACAUAUACUAAAAUUGGAGCAAUACAGAGAAGAUUAGCAUGGCCCCUGCACAAGGAUGACAUGCAAAUUAGUGAAGCGUUCCAUAUUUUU